Molecule: long non-coding RNA, 834 nt
Organism: Sipha flava (yellow sugarcane aphid)
Lineage: Eukaryota; Metazoa; Arthropoda; Insecta; Hemiptera; Aphididae
Exons: 3
Source: RefSeq, a predicted model, not a curated record
AGGCACUGACUGUGUUACUGUUAAUAUAAGUCGUGACCGACUUGACUCCUGUACGGUUUAACUUAAUAUCUAUAUACAUAAUUACUGAGUGUUUGUCUAAAUUAAUAUACCAAGUCAUUUAAACUUGUUAAUAUAUUCUUCAAAGUGUUUUUUUCUUUCUUCUCCAUCACUACUCGUCGUAAUCCCCUUUGGGUGCACGACAGUAGGUAUACCUAGAUAUAUACACGAACAAUAUCACUCGAGACACUAUUAAAUAUCUGUUAUCUAUUGUUAUUUAUAAAUAAUCGUCCUUUCAAUGGGCAAUAUAAAAUAUGUUCAAUAAAUAAACACAUUUCUGGUAAAUCGUCUUUACAAUUAGUAUAUUUUCAAAAGGUAUUGAUAUCGGGAUUAGUCACUUAUGACGACAAUGUUUUCACGUUGCCCAUUAGUCAUGGUUAUGACGACAAACUUUUUGACGACGCAAUUUAAAUCGUUCAAGGAAGGAGGUAAAAGUGAAAAAAGAGAGGAAGAAGUUUUGUAGAAGGACCAACCUUUCAGCAGCCGCAACCUUUCAUCGCAUGUAAAAUUCGCCGCUAUAUUCACUUCAUCAUCAUUGUUUCGGUCGGCGACAUAAAAUUAUAUUAUGUUCACCCCGGUUACUUAUUUGCGUGCCCACUUUUCCAACGACCGAUUAGCGGUGUGUAAUAAUAGGUAAUAGCUCAAUCAGAAGUGUUCGAGAACGCCUAGCAAUACUAUUGAGCUAUGUGGUGAAUAGUGUGUAAGGUGUGUUUUUGUUGGUGUGUAUUUAAUAUGGAAGAAACAAAAAAGGUAACUAAAAAUAAUGUAAAAAUGUAA